This 376-nucleotide long non-coding RNA is filed under the name Elaeis guineensis (African oil palm). Its description in RNAcentral is "long non-coding RNA (EGUI_LNC077136)". The record is from RNAcentral. Lineage: Eukaryota; Viridiplantae; Streptophyta; Magnoliopsida; Arecales; Arecaceae.
AGCAAAGAUGGUAGAGAGGUUGUUGAUGCUCUCUCUAAAAUUUGGUGGGCUCACGACACUCAUAGCUCACGUUUUCACUUCCCGAACUCUAAGCCAAAACCCUAGGGUACACAUGAAAAGAGUGCGCCCACUUCUCUCUCCUUUUUCUCUUCUUUUCUUUUCUUUUCUCAUGCCAAAAUCCUCUCUCAUGCCAUCCUUUUUUCUCUGAUCAUCUGUGCGCAUGCCCUCUCUUAUCUCCUUUUUAAAAUGAUGCAAGACCGCAUCUUUGCAGCAUUUUUACCGCGUGAGAGGAUAAAGAUAAGUGGUUGCUCAUUUGAAUUCAAAUCGAAUUUGAAUUUAAAUGCCAACCAACUCAUUCCUAUCCACUCUAUGCAUG